This is a long non-coding RNA of Octopus sinensis (East Asian common octopus), 332 nucleotides long. RefSeq lists it as uncharacterized. The transcript is spliced from 3 exons. Lineage: Eukaryota; Metazoa; Mollusca; Cephalopoda; Octopoda; Octopodidae. The record is from RefSeq and is a predicted model, not a curated record.
UGUAGUAAAAAGUCCCGGUUUCUCUUGGCUUCGAGCAAAUUAUCAACUGCACUAAAACCACAUUUGACCAAAUAAGACGAAGGGAAAGGAAUCAGUAGCUCUCUCGCUGAUGUAGAAAUUUUAGGAUAUUUUCUUUCAACCUCGUCAUAUAGCCACAUCUUUGUACCUUUCAAUUUAAACAAAGUCUUCACUGAUUCAUCAUGUUGUAAUUCUGAUAACUCUUCUUGGUAUUGGAUUGUAGCAUCAGAAACGUUAAUCAGAAGCGGUUGAGUUAACCAAGAAGGAAAAUUCAUUGCCUUUAAAUCGCAAAAUCUGUCAUUGAAAUCCUUUAU